This 521-nucleotide long non-coding RNA is filed under the name Daucus carota (carrot). RNAcentral's name for it is "long non-coding RNA (DCAR_LNC007696)". The record is from RNAcentral. Lineage: Eukaryota; Viridiplantae; Streptophyta; Magnoliopsida; Apiales; Apiaceae.
UCGGCCAGGGUUUAAAGUGUAACUUUCAAAAGUUACAGGGGCUGAAACGCAAACUUUGAAACCACAGUACCCACACUUCACCAUCUCCGAAACUCUGGGGGCUAAACAGUAGUUUACCACCUCCGCCGCCCCCAGUCGCCGGAAAUGGCCACCACUGACCAGAACUUCACCAAAAUUUCACCGAAUCAUCUACAUAACAACAGGAACAUGAUUAUGGCUUUAUAUUUCACAGAAACUUAGCAGAAUAUCUGGAAAAUCCAUCCAAACAAUUCGCCACCGCUGAGCUCGAAGCUCCGGCGAGGCUUAUACGCGGCUCCUGCACAAAAACUAAUCACACCACUCGAUUCCUCUCCUCAAAAUACACAUGUUCAUCAUCUUCUUUUAAGCCCAGAAUUACAGAAUCAAAAACGCCUAAAUUUCAAUUAAACUUAUUCAAGAACACUCAAGAACACCAAGAACAUUCAAACUCAAGAAUCAAACCAACGUUUCUAUAUGAUUCCGAACUCGAAAUUCAACAUAUA